RNAcentral lists this ribosomal RNA (541 nucleotides) under uncultured bacterium. Its description in RNAcentral is "bacterial SSU rRNA". It matches the Rfam family "Bacterial small subunit ribosomal RNA", at positions 358 to 916 of the family's 1533-position model. The record is from RNAcentral.
GGAAUAUUGGACAAUGGGCGAAAGCCUGAUCCAGCAAUGCCGCGUGAGUGAUGAAGGCCUUAGGGUUGUAAAGCUCUUUUACCAGGGAUGAUAAUGACAGUACCUGGAGAAUAAGCUCCGGCUAACUCCGUGCCAGCAGCCGCGGUAAUACGGAGGGAGCUAGCGUUGUCCGGAAUUACUGGGCGUAAAGAGUACGUAGGCGGUGAUUCAAGUCAGAGGUGAAAGCCUGGAGCUCAACUCCAGAACUGCCUUUGAAACUAGAUCGCUAGAAUUGUGGAGAGGUUAGUGGAAUUCCGAGUGUAGAGGUGAAAUUCGUAGAUAUUCGGAAGAACACCAGUGGCGAAGGCGACUAACUGGACACAUAUUGACGCUGAGGUACGAAAGCGUGGGGAGCAAACAGGAUUAGAUACCCUGGUAGUCCACGCCGUAAACGAUGAUAACUAGCUGUUCGGGGUCUACGAUCCUGAGUGGCGCAGCUAACGCAUUAAGUUAUCCGCCUGGGGAGUACGGUCGCAAGAUUAAAACUCAAAUGAAUUGACGG